Vitis riparia (riverbank grape) is the source of this 706-nucleotide RNA transcript. It is a transcript of the gene named dynein light chain 1, cytoplasmic-like, with no coding region annotated. The transcript is spliced from 3 exons. Lineage: Eukaryota; Viridiplantae; Streptophyta; Magnoliopsida; Vitales; Vitaceae. The record is from RefSeq and is a predicted model, not a curated record.
UGGAGAAGACCGAAGAAAUGAAGGAGAAGCAGGUGGCGCAAAUGCCCUCCCAGCGCAGGAUAGCGCCGAACCUCGAGGUGAAGCUCGCAGCCAUUGCCAUCAGCCUGAACGUGCGGCUGAGAUCCUCCGAUAUGCCGCCAGCCAUGCAGGAUCAUGCGCUGCGAUACUCCAGAUCACUCGUCGACGCCAUCCCGGACGCCACUCGUCCCAAUCCAAGCCACAUAGCUCGGGCCCUCAAAAAGGAGUUUGACUCGGUGUACGGCCCGGCGUGGCACUGUGUGGCGGGAACGAGUUUCGGGUCGUUUGUGACUCACUCGCCUGGUGGGUUCGUUUAUUUCUCGAUUGACUCGCUCUACAUUCUACUGUUCAAGACGGAGGUGAAGUUGGUGACAGAACCACGCGCAUGAGAGUGGCUAAUGGAUUCUACUCGCCCCUCACUACACCACGUGGAAUGAGGAAUACGUAUACUUGUAUUUCUAAAGUUCUGAAUUUUAAUGCUCCAAGCUUCAAUUUCCCAAUCUGAAAUCAAUUUUCAAGUCAUUGAAUCAGUUGUUGGAUUUGAUUAAUGCAUACACGGAGAGAACCCAAGUCGGAUAGCAUAUGAAAUUUCAGCAACAAUAAAAUAAAACAAAAUUUACGAUUAAUCACAAAAAAGAUUCAGAACCCAGAUCAGAUAGAAGAAAACAGAACAAUUGAGGACCUGGAU